This 253-nucleotide unclassified non-coding RNA is filed under the name uncultured Myxococcales bacterium. Its description in RNAcentral is "contains 16S-23S intergenic spacer region". It matches the Rfam family "Bacterial small subunit ribosomal RNA", at positions 524 to 776 of the family's 1533-position model. Lineage: Bacteria; Pseudomonadati; Myxococcota; Myxococcia; Myxococcales. The record is from RNAcentral.
GACAGAGGGUGCAAACGUUGUUCGGAAUUACUGGGCGUAAAGCGCGUGUAGGCGGCUCGGAAAGUCGGAUGUGAAAGCCCAGGGCUUAACCCUGGAAGUGCACUCGAAACUCCCGAGCUUGAGUCCCGGAGAGGAAGGCGGAAUUCUCGGUGUAGAGGUGAAAUUCGUAGAUAUCGAGAGGAACACCUGUGGCGAAGGCGGCCUUCUGGACGGUGACUGACGCUGAGACGCGAAAGCGUGGGGAGCAAACAGG